UAAAGUAAGAAAGAGCGUAUGGCGGAUGCCUAGGCACAGAGAGGCGAAGAAGGACGCAGCAAACAGCGAAAUGCGACGGUUAGCAGUAAGCAUGCAACGAUCCGUCGAUGUCCGAAUGGGGGAACCCACCUGGAGUAGAGACCAGGUAUCCUGAAGUGAAUAAAUAGCUUCAGAGAGGCGAGACUCAGGGAACUGAAACAUCUAAGUACCUGAAGGAAGAGAAAAUAAACGAAUGAUUCCCUAAGUAGCGGCGAGCGAAAGGGGAAGAGCCCAAACCGAUCUUAGGAUCGGGGUUGUAGGACUGUCGGCAAAGAGCAAGAAAUCAUUAUAGGCGAACGGAAUGGGAAGUCCGGCGAAACAGGGUGACAGCCCCGUAGCCGAAAUAGUGAAGAAGCACGAGACAGCACCUGAGUACGGCGGGACACGAGGAAUCCUGUCGGAAUCCACCAGGACCAUCUGGUAAGGCUAAAUACUCCUCUGUGACCGAUAGUGAACCAGUACCGUGAGGGAAAGGUGAAAAGAACCCCGGGAGGGGAGUGAAAUAGAACCUGAAACCAUAUGCUUACAAGAAGUUAGAGCCCGUUAAAGGGUGAUAGCGUGCCUUUUGUAGAAUGAACCGGCGAGUUACGAUAUGGAGCGAGGUUAAGCAGGAUAUGCGGAGCCGAAGCGAAAGCGAGUCUUAAUAGGGCGAAAGUUGCAUGUCGUAGACCCGAAACCGAGUGAUCUAGCCAUGACCAGGUUGAAGUUGGGGUAAAACCCGAUGGAGGACCGAACCGACCCCCGUUGAAACGUUGGCGGAUGAGUUGUGGCUAGGGGUGAAAUUCCAAUCGAACUCGGAGAUAGCUGGUUCUCCCCGAAAUAGCUUUAGGGCUAGCGUCGAGGUAAAGUCGUGUGAAGGUAGAGCACUGAAUAUGUGAUGGCCCCAUCUCGGGGUACUGAACAUAAUCAAACUCCGAAUGUCACAAAGAUAUACUCGGCAGUCAGACAGUGGGUGAUAAGGUCCAUUGUCAAAAGGGAAACAGCCCAGACCAUCAGCUAAGGUCCCAAAAUAUAUACUAAGUGGAAAAGGAUGUGGAGAUGUCCAGACAACUAGGAGGUUGGCUCAGAAGCAGCCAUCCUUUAAAGAGUGCGUAACAGCUCACUAGUCGAAUGACUCUGCGCCGAUAAUUUACCGGGGCUAAGUAUAUUACCGAAGCUAUGGAUUUACGCGUAAGCGUGAGUGGUAGGGGAGCGUUCUAUGUGCGGAGAAGCGGUACCGUAAGGAGCCGUGGAGCGCAUAGAAGAGAGAAUGCCGGUGUGAGUAGCGAAACGUGGGUGAGAAUCCCACGCACCGAAAACCCAAGGUUUCCAGAGGAAGGUUCGUCCGCUCUGGGUAAGUCGGGACCUAAGGCGAGGCCGAGAGGCGUAGUCGAUGGACAACAGGUAGAGAUUCCUGUACUUACGGUAUGAAUGAUGGAGUGACGGAGAAGGCUAGCGGAUCCUGCUGAUGGAAAUGCAGGUGCAAGCGAGGUAGCCGACAGCCAGGCAAAUCCGGCUGUCGAAAGGCAAAGGCGUGAGGCGUAUGGAAAGCUGCGGCAAGUACAGAAGUCCGUGAAGCCAGCUUCCAAGAAAAGCUUCUAGUGAUAAUCAUACAGUAACCCGUACCGAAAAUGGACACACAUGGGUGAGGAGAGAAUCCUAAGGUGAGCGAGAGAACUAUAGCUAAGGAACUCUGCAAAAUGACUCCGUAACUUAGGGAUAAGGAGUGCUCAUAGAGAUAUGAGCCGCAGUGAAACGGCCCAAGCGACUGUUUACCAAAAACACAGCUCUAUGCUAAGUCGAAAGACGACGUAUAUGGGGUGACGCCUGCCCGGUGCUGGAAGGUUAAGAGGAUGUGUCAGCGCAAGCGAAGCAUUGAAUUGAAGCCCCAGUAAACGGCGGCCGUAACUAUAACGGUCCUAAGGUAGCGAAAUUCCUUGUCAGGUAAGUUCUGACCCG
Molecule: ribosomal RNA, 1977 nt
Filed under: human gut metagenome
Description: bacterial LSU rRNA
Rfam family: Bacterial large subunit ribosomal RNA
Source: RNAcentral